GAUGAACGCUGGCGGCGUGCCUAAUACAUGCAAGUCGAGCGAACGGACGAGAAGCUUGCUUCUCUGAUGUUAGCGGCGGACGGGUGAGUAACACGUGGAUAACCUACCUAUAAGACUGGGAUAACGUCGGGAAACCGGAGCUAAUACCGGAUAAUAUGUUGAACCGCAUGGUUCAAAAGUGAAAGACGGUCUUGCUGUCACUUAUAGAUGGAUCCGCGCUGCAUUAGCUAGUUGGUAAGGUAACGGCUUACCAAGGCGACGAUGCAUAGCCGACCUGAGAGGGUGAUCGGCCACACUGGAACUGAGACACGGUCCAGACUCCUACGGGAGGCAGCAGUAGGGAAUUUUCCGCAAUGGGCGCAAGCCUGACGGAGCAACGCCGCGUGAGUGAUGAAGGUCUUCGGAUCGUAAAGCUCUGUUAUUAGGGAAGAACAUAUGUGUACGUAACUGUGCACAUCUUGACGGUACCUGAUCAGAAAGCCCCGGCUAACUACGUG
RNAcentral lists this ribosomal RNA (497 nucleotides) under uncultured bacterium. Its description in RNAcentral is "partial 16S ribosomal RNA". It matches the Rfam family "Bacterial small subunit ribosomal RNA", at positions 28 to 507 of the family's 1533-position model. The record is from RNAcentral.